RNAcentral lists this ribosomal RNA (386 nucleotides) under uncultured Chloroflexia bacterium. Its description in RNAcentral is "SSU rRNA". It matches the Rfam family "Bacterial small subunit ribosomal RNA", at positions 1 to 414 of the family's 1533-position model. The record is from RNAcentral. Lineage: Bacteria; Bacillati; Chloroflexota; Chloroflexia.
ACUCAACCUGAGAGUUUGAUCCUGGCUCAGAGCGAACGCUGGCGGCAGGCUUAACACAUGCAAGUCGAGCGCACUCUUCGGAGUGAGCGGCGGACGGGUGAGUAACACGUGGGAACGUGCCCUUCAGUUCGGGAUAACCAAGGGAAACUUUGGCUAACACCGGAUACGCCCUCAGGGGGAAAGGUUACGCUGAAGGAGCGGCCCGCGUCUGAUUAGCUAGUUGGUGGGGUAAAGGCUCACCAAGGCUACGAUCAGUAGCUGGUCUGAGAGGAUGAUCAGCCACACUGGGACUGAGACACGGCCCAGACUCCUACGGGAGGCAGCAGUGGGGAAUCUUGCGCAAUGGGCGAAAGCCUGACGCAGCCAUGCCGCGUGAAUGAUGAAGG